AGUGAACGCUGGCGGUAGGCCUAACACAUGCAAGUCGAACGGCAGCACCGUAAGAGCUUGCUCUUACGGGUGGCGAGUGGCGGACGGGUGAGGAAUACAUCGGAAUCUACUUUUUCGUGGGGGAUAACGUAGGGAAACCUACGCUAAUACAGCAUACGACCUACGGGUGAAAGCAGGGGAUCUUCGGACCUUGCGCGAUUGAAUGAGCCGAUGUCGGAUUAGCUAGUUGGGGGGGUAAAGGCCCACCAAGGCGACGAUCCGUAGCUGGUGUGAGAGGAUGAUCGGCCACACUGGAACUGAGACACGGUCCAGACUCCUACGGGAGGCAGCAGUGGGGAAUAUGGGACAAUGGGCGCAAGCCUGAUCCAGCCAUACCGCGUGGGUGAAGAAGGCCUUCGGGUUGUAAAGCCGUUUUGUUGGGAAAGAAAAGCAGCAGGUUAAUACCCCGCUGUUCUGACGGUACCCAAAGAAUAAGCACCGGCUAACUUCGUG
This 492-nucleotide ribosomal RNA is filed under the name uncultured bacterium. RNAcentral describes it as "partial 16S ribosomal RNA". It matches the Rfam family "Bacterial small subunit ribosomal RNA", at positions 29 to 507 of the family's 1533-position model. The record is from RNAcentral.